GGCCUGAUGGUCUAGUAGUAUGAUUCCUUGUUAGGGAUUUGUCAUGAUUAUGCAAUCAUGACGGUCACGUGAUAUCGAGGAGGUCCUGGGUUCAAUUCCCAGUUAGGCCC
Molecule: non-coding RNA, 110 nt
Organism: Mycena vulgaris
Lineage: Eukaryota; Fungi; Basidiomycota; Agaricomycetes; Agaricales; Mycenaceae
Source: the annotation of a GenBank genome assembly